Mauremys reevesii (Reeves's turtle) is the source of this 382-nucleotide long non-coding RNA. RefSeq lists it as uncharacterized. Lineage: Eukaryota; Metazoa; Chordata; Testudines; Geoemydidae. The transcript is spliced from 3 exons. The record is from RefSeq and is a predicted model, not a curated record.
GAAAAAGAAAACUAGCAGCUGGCAAAGUCAAGAUAAAAUAUAUUAAAGCUACACAGUCCUGCCGACAGCAAUUCCAGGCCCCAGGGCAGAACAGUCAAUGGCCUCCUAGAAAGCUACAAAUCAACAAGAUGCACCAUCAAAGUAGCAAUCCCAACGACCCAGGAACAACUGGUAACCUUUAAUAGGCUGCACAUGGCCCCUGCAACCAUCAGUGGAGACCAGGAUGGGAUACAGUUGUGGAUCUUGCUCUUCCCAGGCUAUUUGCAGUGUUCCCAUACACACUCAUGUUGCACAGAUAGAAGAAGGAAGAGCUGAGGGGCAACAGGCAAGCUGAAGUGCUGUACCAGGGUAUUACUACAUAAUUUCAAGGAUAGAAAUGGAC